This 219-nucleotide ribosomal RNA is filed under the name Pseudomonas sp. ATCC 13867. RNAcentral describes it as "partial 23S ribosomal RNA". It matches the Rfam family "Bacterial large subunit ribosomal RNA", at positions 2727 to 2925 of the family's 2925-position model. The record is from RNAcentral. Lineage: Bacteria; Pseudomonadati; Pseudomonadota; Gammaproteobacteria; Pseudomonadales; Pseudomonadaceae.
CGCCAGUGGCAUUGCCGGGUAGCUAUGUUCGGAAUAGAUAACCGCUGAAAGCAUCUAAGCGGGAAACUAGCCUCAAGAUGAGAUCUCACUGGGACCUUGAGUCCCUGAAGGGCCGUCGAAGACUACGCGUUGAUAGGUCGGGUGUGUAAGCGCUGUGAGGCGUUGAGCUAACCGAUACUAAUUGCCCGUGAGGCUUGACCAUAUAACACCCAAACAAUU